GUCGAGCGGUAACAUUUCUAGCUUGCUAGAAGAUGACGAGCGGCGGACGGGUGAGUAAUGCUUGGGAAUAUGCCUUAUGGUGGGGGACAACAGUUGGAAACGACUGCUAAUACCGCAUAAUGUCUACGGACCAAAGGGGGGGAUCUUCGGACCUCUCGCCAUUUGAUUAGCCCAAGUGAGAUUAGCUAGUUGGUGAGGUAAUCGCUCACCAAGGCGACGAUCUCUAGCUGGUUUGAGAGGAUGAUCAGCCACACUGGGACUGAGACACGGCCCAGACUCCUACGGGAGGCAGCAGUGGGGAAUAUUGCACAAUGGGCGCAAGCCUGAUGCAGCCAUGCCGCGUGUGUGAAGAAGGCCUUCGGGUUGUAAAGCACUUUCAGUAAGGAGGAAAGGGAUGUAGUUAAUAACUGCAUUCUGUGACGUUACUUACAGAAGAAGCACCGGCUAACUUCGUGCCAGCAGCCGCGGUAAUACGAGGGGUGCAAGCGUUAAUCGGAAUUACUGGGCGUAAAGCGUUCGUAGGCGGUUGAUUAAGCAAGAUGUGAAAGCCCAGGGCUCAACCUUGGAACUGCAUUUUGAACUGGUCAACUAGAGUACUGUAGAGGGUGGUGGAAUUUCCA
This 620-nucleotide ribosomal RNA is filed under the name uncultured bacterium. Its description in RNAcentral is "bacterial SSU rRNA". It matches the Rfam family "Bacterial small subunit ribosomal RNA", at positions 61 to 672 of the family's 1533-position model. The record is from RNAcentral.